GUGUCAGCCGCCGCGGUAAUACGUAGGGUGCGAGCGUUGUCCGGAAUUAUUGGGCGUAAAGAGCUUGUAGGCGGUUUGUCGCGUCUGCUGUGAAAUCUCAAGGCUCAACCUUGAGCUUGCAGUGGGUACGGGCAGACUAGAGUGUGGUAGGGGAGACUGGAAUUCCUGGUGUAGCGGUGAAAUGCGCAGAUAUCAGGAGGAACACCGAUGGCGAAGGCAGGUCUCUGGGCCACUACUGACGCUGAGAAGCGAAAGCAUGGGGAGCGAACAGGAUUAGAAACCCUGGUAGUCC
This 292-nucleotide ribosomal RNA is filed under the name uncultured bacterium. RNAcentral describes it as "partial 16S ribosomal RNA". It matches the Rfam family "Bacterial small subunit ribosomal RNA", at positions 505 to 796 of the family's 1533-position model. The record is from RNAcentral.